This is a small nuclear RNA of Leopardus geoffroyi (Geoffroy's cat), 108 nucleotides long. NCBI's taxonomy places the organism in Eukaryota, Metazoa, Chordata, Mammalia, Carnivora, Felidae. The record is from RefSeq and is a predicted model, not a curated record.
GUGCUCGCUUCGGCAGCACAUAUACUAAAAUUGGAACGAUACAGAGAAGAUUAGCAUGGCCCCUGCGCAAGGAUGAUACGCAAAGAUGUUAAUAGGAAAGAAAGCCAU